This 433-nucleotide ribosomal RNA is filed under the name uncultured bacterium. RNAcentral's name for it is "partial 16S ribosomal RNA". It matches the Rfam family "Bacterial small subunit ribosomal RNA", at positions 29 to 507 of the family's 1533-position model. The record is from RNAcentral.
AACGAACGCUGGCGGCAUGCCUAACACAUGCAAGUCGAACGACACCUUCGGGUCUAGUGGCGCACGGGUGCGUAACGCGUGGGAACCUGCCCUUAGGUUCGGAAUAACUCCCCGAAAGGGGUGCUAAUACCGGAUAAUGUCUUCGGACCAAAGAUUUAUCGCCUUUGGAUGGGCCCGCGUUGGAUUAGCUAGUUGGUAGGGUAAAAGCCUACCAAGGCGACGAUCCAUAGCUGGUCUGAGAGGAUGAUCAGCCACACUGCGACUGAGACACGGCCCAGACUCCUACGGGAGGCAGCAGUGGGGAAUAUUGGACAAUGGGCGAAAGCCUGAUCCAGCAAUGCCGCGUGAGUGAUGAAGGCCUUAGGGUUGUAAAGCUCUUUUACCCGGGAUGAUAAUGACAGUACCGGGAGAAUAAGCUCCGGCUAACUCCGUG